RNAcentral lists this ribosomal RNA (496 nucleotides) under uncultured bacterium. RNAcentral's name for it is "partial 16S ribosomal RNA". It matches the Rfam family "Bacterial small subunit ribosomal RNA", at positions 28 to 506 of the family's 1533-position model. The record is from RNAcentral.
GAUGAACGCUGGCGGCGUGCCUAAUACAUGCAAGUCGAGCGAACAGACGAGGAGCUUGCUCCUCUGACGUUAGCGGCGGACGGGUGAGUAACACGUGGAUAACCUACCUAUAAGACUGGGAUAACUUCGGGAAACCGGAGCUAAUACCGGAUAAUAUAUUGAACCGCAUGGUUCAAUAGUGAAAGACGGUUUUGCUGUCACUUAUAGAUGGAUCCGCGCCGCAUUAGCUAGUUGGUAAGGUAACGGCUUACCAAGGCAACGAUGCGUAGCCGACCUGAGAGGGGGUUCGCCCACACGGGACGGGAGACCCGGUCCAGACCCCCAGGGGGGGCCGGGGUGGGGAAUUUUCCGAAAGGGGGGAAAGCCUGAGGGAGCAACCCCGGGUGAGUGAUGAAGGUUUUCGGAUCGUAAACCGUUGUUAUUAGGGAAGAAAAAAUUUUUAAGUAACUAUGCCCGUCUUGACGGUACCUAAUCAGAAAGCCCCGGCUAACUACGU